AGAGUUUGAUCAUGGCUCAGAUUGAACGCUGGCGGCGUGCCUAACACAUGCAAGUCGAGCGGUAACGCGGGAGCAAUCCUGGCGACGAGCGGCAAACGGGUGAGUAAUGCUUCGGAAUCUGCCCAUUGGUGGGGAAUAACCAGCCGAAAGGUUGGCUAAUACCGCAUAAGUCCUACGGGGGAAAGCGGGGGAUCGCAAGACCUCGCGCCGAUGGAUGAGCCGAAGCCGGAUUAGCUAGUUGGUAGGGUAACGGCCUACCAAGGCGACGAUCCGUAGCUGGUCUGAGAGGACGACCAGCCACACUGGGACUGAGACACGGCCCAGACUCCUACGGGAGGCAGCAGUGGGGAAUAUUGGACAAUGGGGGAAACCCUGAUCCAGCGACGCCGCGUGUGUGAAGAAGGCCUGCGGGUUGUAAAGCACUUUUAGUGGGGAUGAAAAGCUCAGGGCUAACACCUCUGGGUCUUGACCUAACCCACAGAAAAAGCACCGGCUAACUCUGUGCCAGCAGCCGCGGUAAUACAGAGGGUGCAAGCGUUAAUCGGAAUUACUGGGCGUAAAGCGUGCGUAGACGGUUGCAUAAGUCGGGUGUGAAAGCCCCGGGCUCAACCUGGGAAUUGCAUUCGAGACUGUGCAGCUAGGGUGCGGAAGAGGGAAGCGGAAUUUCCGGUAGCGGUGAAAUGCGUAGAUAUCGGAAGGAACACCAGUGGCGAAAGCGGCUUCCUGGUCCAGCACCGACGUUCAGGCACGAAAGCGUGGGGAGCAAACAGGAUUAGAUACCCCAGUAGUCC
RNAcentral lists this ribosomal RNA (791 nucleotides) under uncultured bacterium. Its description in RNAcentral is "bacterial SSU rRNA". It matches the Rfam family "Bacterial small subunit ribosomal RNA", at positions 8 to 796 of the family's 1533-position model. The record is from RNAcentral.